CAGCAGCCACGGUAAUACAGAGGGUGCGAGCGUUAAUCGGAUUUACUGGGCGUAAAGCGUGCGUAGGCGGCUUUUUAAGUCGGAUGUGAAAUCCCCGAGCUUAACUUGGGAAUUGCAUUCGAUACUGGGAAGCUAGAGUAUGGGAGAGGAUGGUAGAAUUCCAGGUGUAGCGGUGAAAUGCGUAGAGAUCUGGAGGAAUACCGAUGGCGAAGGCAGCCAUCUGGCCUAAUACUGACGCUGAGGUACGAAAGCAUGGGGAGCAAACAGGAUUAGAUACCCCGGUAGUCCCUGUCUCUUAUAC
This 301-nucleotide ribosomal RNA is filed under the name uncultured bacterium. Its description in RNAcentral is "partial 16S ribosomal RNA". It matches the Rfam family "Bacterial small subunit ribosomal RNA", at positions 509 to 807 of the family's 1533-position model. The record is from RNAcentral.